UUCUGGCCUUCUUUCGAAUAUAAGCCAAUUAAUUGCUCUAGUUGGCAGGUGCUACUUGAGAAUGCGGAAAACGAAUAUUCUGUCACCUGAUUCCAUCACCGAUGUCCCUCUGCGCUUUUUCAGGCUCCGACGGAGGGGGAUGACUGCAUGCACGGCAACGCCUGUGCUCACAUUCUUGCUUCAACUCAUAGGGAAGCAUAAUUAUUUUCUAUGGGGUUCUAC
Pelobates cultripes (western spadefoot toad) is the source of this 222-nucleotide non-coding RNA. The record is from the annotation of a GenBank genome assembly. Lineage: Eukaryota; Metazoa; Chordata; Amphibia; Anura; Pelobatidae.